GAACUGAAGAGUUUGAUCAUGGCUCAGAUUGAACGCUGGCGGCAGGCCUAACACAUGCAAGUCGAGCGGAUGAAGGGAGCUUGCUCCUGGAUUCAGCGGCGGACGGGUGAGUAAUGCCUAGGAAUCUGCCUGGUAGUGGGGGAUAACGUCCGGAAACGGGCGCUAAUACCGCAUACGUCCUGAGGGAGAAAGUGGGGGAUCUUCGGACCUCACGCUAUCAGAUGAGCCUAGGUCGGAUUAGCUAGUUGGUGG
Molecule: ribosomal RNA, 252 nt
Filed under: Pseudomonas aeruginosa
Lineage: Bacteria; Pseudomonadati; Pseudomonadota; Gammaproteobacteria; Pseudomonadales; Pseudomonadaceae
Description: partial 16S ribosomal RNA
Rfam family: Bacterial small subunit ribosomal RNA
Source: RNAcentral